GCCGAUUCUAAUGAUACCCUGAAGCAUUUCUUUUCUUGUCUUUCUCUUUUUCUUUACUGGCGCCUCAGACAUUUUUGCUAAAUUUUAUACCAGUUUAUGUACAAUACGACAAUCAUGACACGCAUCAACAUCUGCAAGAACACAAUAUCCGCAUAUACAAGGAAUGCAGUAAAACAGCUGUCGUGUAAAAUGUAUUGAUUGUAGAUCUGAUAAAGGUUUGGCUGAAAUCCGAGUCUUUCGAUCACAUGUUUGUAAUCUCCCUCACUGAUUGGUCGAUGUUCCUCGGUGUCCAAUUUUGGCGGUCGAAUUGAUUUUUUUUUGCUGUCGAAUUGAUAUUUCAUGCGACAGAUUGCUCGUACACAGCACUGUUUCUAUUACAAACCAACUUUAUCUUCGGAAUUAUGUCGGAAAUAAAUUUGCUCUUGUCCUUUGGAAUGACGACCAACAAUUUAGUGUAGUGGAAGAGGAGGAUAUAACAGGAGAGGCUAAAUUGGGUGAGAUUCGACCAGUGGCUUGGAGGGUCAAGAAGAAGAAGGGUGAUGUGAUAACGAGCUGGUAUGAAGCGAAAAUACUUCAAUUCUCUGGUAAGCUUAUAUUUUAUUCGUGUGUAUUGAUGUAAUUAUCAAUAUUUCAUUAAUACUCUUCGUAAUUUGUCUUGCUGUCGGCCGUUGUCGAUGUAUAUUUAUAUGGUGUAUUUUAUAUGCAAGCCAUACAACGAACUUCUUCACCUGCAUCUAUAAUGACAGCCAACGAUAAAGCAUGCAAGCUAGACAAUCUCGAUCGUCACUGCGUACAACUAGAUUAUAGGUCGCAUUUAUAUGACCAUAUACUAUAAGCAAGGUAUAUAUAGCGAUAUAUUUUAUUUUUAGAUUUUAUGAAUGAAAAACUGUCUUGAAUCUUGACCUACAAUGCCAGUAUUUAUACAGACAUAUAUACAGUGUCGUUAAUCGCGAAAUUAAUCCCUGAAAUUAUUGCAAGUUUAGUUGUUGAGCCAGUCUCAGUAACUUGAAACUCUACGGCGAAACUCUAUAAAUUAUAAAAGCUAUCGCAAUGAAAUAAAGAUCAUUGCAUUCAGAAAGGACUAACUUCAAAUUUCUCAUAACAAAUAUAAAAAUGAUAUAAAAACCCGUUAGGCG
Molecule: non-coding RNA, 1136 nt
Organism: Paramuricea clavata
Lineage: Eukaryota; Metazoa; Cnidaria; Anthozoa; Malacalcyonacea; Plexauridae
Source: the annotation of a GenBank genome assembly